GAUGAACGCUGGCGGCGUGCCUAAUACAUGCAAGUCGAGCGAACAGACGAGGAGCUUGCUCCUCUGACGUUAGCGGCGGACGGGUGAGUAACACGUGGAUAACCUACCUAUAAGACUGGGAUAACUUCGGGAAACCGGAGCUAAUACCGGAUAAUAUAUUGAACCGCAUGGUUCAAUAGUGAAAGACGGUUUUGCUGUCACUUAUAGAUGGAUCCUCGCCGCAUUAGCUAGUUGGUAAGGUAACGGCUUACCAAGGCAACGAUGCGUAGCCGACCUGAGAGGGUGAUCGGCCACACUGGAACUGAGACACGGUCCAGACUCCUACGGGAGGCAGCAGUAGGGAAUCUUCGGCAAUGGGCGAAAGCCUGACGGAGCAACGCCGCGUGAGUGAUGAAGGUCUUCGGAUCGUAAAACUCUGUUAUUAGGGAAGAACAAAUGUGUAAGUAACGAUGCACGUCUUGACGGUACCUAAUCAGAAAGCCACGGCUAACUACGUG
This 497-nucleotide ribosomal RNA is filed under the name uncultured bacterium. RNAcentral's name for it is "partial 16S ribosomal RNA". It matches the Rfam family "Bacterial small subunit ribosomal RNA", at positions 28 to 507 of the family's 1533-position model. The record is from RNAcentral.